CCAGCGGACAAGUUCAGUGUCAGCGAAGAGUUCAGGGUCGUUAGCCUGUAAUUAAGCAGGGGAAAGAAACGAGAAACGAGUUUAGCCUGGUGCGUGUUGCACACGGCGUAUGAUUAAUGUGCUGAGUGGACACGCAAAUCGCAGUGCACUUGACCCCAUCGUGUGUUAUCUACUCAGCUUAUUCAUUUUGCCUGUUCAUACGCUCUACGCACUAUUGAUUUUUCCAGCUGUUGCGACUUGUGGUGCGACAUUCGUGCUGCCAUUGUUGGCUUUUCUUUGGGUGCUGAUAAGAAGAGCCAACAGGUGGUUGAAAAUUGGGGAAAAGUUCACCUGGACCUCUACAGCCUAAACUUAUUUAUUCGGCGAAGGACCUCUAUCCUGGACAGACAGUCACCAGCCGUCGAUGCAGAGGAAGAUAAACUGGUCAGCGAAGCGCGGUACAUUUGUUUAGUUAGUCCAAACAAUUUUCACGCAGGCGCUCUUUGAUUCAUUCAGAUACAGUGGUUCAAAAGCUAUUGAAACUAAACCAAACUUGAAAGACCUUUCAUAAGGCGAAUGUUUUUCAGACCUAACAAAACUCUGCUUAAAUAUUUAAGCCGAUUAAAAUCACACCUAACAUAUCAUAUUUAAAUUGUUAUAUACUUUUAGCUUUCAAUAAACCUGGGGCACUAGUUCCACUUCCCAAAACACUGAAGUAAAUUGAAUCAAAUUUUUUGAGUUUUCAGAAUUUUUAUAUAUAUUUUUUUUUAAAUAUUCCAUUCAGCUCUACAUUCACAAUUACAUAUUUGUAAUAUUGUUUUUUGUUUUCCUUUUUAAAUUACAUAAUAUAUAUUUAAAUAUAUAUUUAUGUAUACGGUUUAAAAUGUAUGUGUAUAUAUAUAACUUUUUGCUCUCGAAUCGAGGGACUCAAAAUUCAAAUAACUUGACGCGAUCGAAAGUGGCUAAAGGGGGCGCGGGGAAUCCCCCCAUUGGGGGCAGUGGGCUGUAUGUGUUUGGGAGGAGUGUCAUACAUAUAGAUACAUUUAUACGUACAAACCUAGAAUAUAAAGAACAGAUGACUGGAAAGGAAAGAAUGUGUGUGUGAUCCUUCACAUCUUUAACUUAGUCUUUAUGGUUUAUGCUGUGUGUUGGCAUAUGUAUGUGUGUAUCCGUGUGUGUGUGUUUGCAUGUUUAUGGAUUUAGUGCAUAUUUAAAGAUUUAAGGUCUUGAU
Long non-coding RNA from Drosophila sechellia, 1210 nucleotides. RefSeq lists it as uncharacterized. NCBI's taxonomy places the organism in Eukaryota, Metazoa, Arthropoda, Insecta, Diptera, Drosophilidae. The transcript is spliced from 2 exons. The record is from RefSeq and is a predicted model, not a curated record.